RNAcentral lists this ribosomal RNA (279 nucleotides) under uncultured Staphylococcus sp. Its description in RNAcentral is "partial 16S ribosomal RNA". It matches the Rfam family "Bacterial small subunit ribosomal RNA", at positions 83 to 354 of the family's 1533-position model. Lineage: Bacteria; Bacillati; Bacillota; Bacilli; Caryophanales; Staphylococcaceae. The record is from RNAcentral.
CCUCUGACGUUAGCGGCGGACGGGUGAGUAACACGUGGGUAACCUACCUAUAAGACUGGGAUAACUCCGGGAAACCGGGGCUAAUACCGGAUAACACAUGAAACCGCAUGGUUUCAUGAUGAAAGACGGUUUUGCUGUCACUUAUAGAUGGACCCGCGGCGUAUUAGCUAGUUGGUAAGGUAACGGCUUACCAAGGCAACGAUACGUAGCCGACCUGAGAGGGUGAUCGGCCACACUGGAACUGAGACACGGUCCAGACUCCUACGGGAGGCAGCAGGG